RNAcentral lists this ribosomal RNA (672 nucleotides) under uncultured bacterium. RNAcentral describes it as "bacterial SSU rRNA". It matches the Rfam family "Bacterial small subunit ribosomal RNA", at positions 419 to 1104 of the family's 1533-position model. The record is from RNAcentral.
CGGGUUGUAAACCUCUUUCAGCAGGGAAGAAGCGAGAGUGACGGUACCUGCAGAAGAAGCGCCGGCUAACUACGUGCCAGCAGCCGCGGUAAUACGUAGGGCGCAAGCGUUGUCCGGAAUUAUUGGGCGUAAAGAGCUCGUAGGCGGUGUGUCGCGUCUGCUGUGAAAUCCUCAGGCUCAACCUGGGGCUUGCAGUGGGUACGGGCACACUAGAGUGCGGUAGGGGUGACUGGAAUUCCUGGUGUAGCGGUGGAAUGCGCAGAUAUCAGGAGGAACACCGAUGGCGAAGGCAGGUCACUGGGCCGCAACUGACGCUGAGGAGCGAAAGCAUGGGGAGCGAACAGGAUUAGAUACCCUGGUAGUCCAUGCCGUAAACGUUGGGCACUAGGUGUGGGGUCCAUUCCACGGAUUCCGUGCCGCAGCAAACGCAUUAAGUGCCCCGCCUGGGGAGUACGGCCGCAAGGCUAAAACUCAAAGAAAUUGACGGGGGCCCGCACAAGCGGCGGAGCAUGCGGAUUAAUUCGAUGCAACGCGAAGAACCUUACCAAGGCUUGACAUGCACCGGUAACACUCAGAGAUGGGUGCCCCGCAAGGUCGGUGCACAGGUGGUGCAUGGUUGUCGUCAGCUCGUGUCGUGAGAGGUUGGGUUAAGUCCCGCAACGAGCGCAACCC